UGUUAUUGCUAAACAUUGGUUCAGUUUGUCUUCUACACGAUAGUCAGAUAAAUCAUCAUUUUCUAAUUCUGUUUCUUUUAUGCAUUCGUCGAUGAUAUCCAUGAAGUAACAUGUGUCUUCUAUUGCAGGUGCUUUCAAAAAUUUGGAAAGAAUGAACUCAAUUUUCUCUUCUCCUAUUUCGAAAGUGAGUCGUCCUCGUUUUACGUCUAUGAUAG
This 215-nucleotide long non-coding RNA is filed under the name Lathyrus oleraceus (garden pea). Its description in RNAcentral is "Pisum sativum (pea) long non-coding RNA (PSAT_LNC003848)". The record is from RNAcentral. Lineage: Eukaryota; Viridiplantae; Streptophyta; Magnoliopsida; Fabales; Fabaceae.